UCGGGAAUUUUGGGCAAUGGGCGAAAGCCUGACCCAGCAACGCCGCGUGAGGGAUGAAGUAUUUCGGUAUGUAAACCUCGAAAGAAUGGGAAGAAUAAAUGACGGUACCAUUUAUAAGCUCCGGCUAACUACGUGCCAGCAGCCGCGGUAAUACGUAGGGAGCAAGCGUUGUUCGGAUUUACUGGGCGUAAAGGGCGCGUAGGCGGCGCGGUAAGUCACUUGUGAAAUCUCUGAGCUUAACUCAGAACGGCCAAGUGAUACUGCUGUGCUAGAGGGCGGAAGAGGCAACCGGAAUUCUUGGUGUAGCGGUGAAAUGCGUAGAUAUCAAGAGGAACACCGGAGGCGAAGGCGGGUUGCUGGGCCGACACUGACGCUGAUGCGCGAAAGCCAGGGGAG
RNAcentral lists this ribosomal RNA (396 nucleotides) under uncultured bacterium. Its description in RNAcentral is "bacterial SSU rRNA". It matches the Rfam family "Bacterial small subunit ribosomal RNA", at positions 355 to 768 of the family's 1533-position model. The record is from RNAcentral.